GGGAGAAAAAUACUUUUCACAGGAAAACUACAUCAUGCUGGCAGGGGGGACUCCCAAACAAGGACCGGGCCAACAGAACCAGAAACUGGGAAUCAUCCUCAAACUGGACCAGACACACCUCCCGAGCACUGUCCACCUGGAAUGGGAGCUUUUUCUGGAGAUGUUUUCCAGAGUGGAAACGGUUGCUUCCCGGGCCCGCGUGUCUCAUUCAGAACAAUCAUCUUG
Kogia breviceps (pygmy sperm whale) is the source of this 225-nucleotide non-coding RNA. NCBI's taxonomy places the organism in Eukaryota, Metazoa, Chordata, Mammalia, Artiodactyla, Physeteridae. The record is from RefSeq and is a predicted model, not a curated record.